RNAcentral lists this long non-coding RNA (1149 nucleotides) under Olea europaea subsp. europaea. Lineage: Eukaryota; Viridiplantae; Streptophyta; Magnoliopsida; Lamiales; Oleaceae. The record is from RNAcentral.
UUAUUCUCAAUGAGUAAACACAUUUAUUUAUUUAAAUCUUGUCUUUAACACAUCCGGCCACUUUAUAUUUUGAACAAGAAACAGAUUACAAGAAACUUAAAAAUCUUCAUUAUUUAGGCAAUACAAAUACAACAAAGUAACACGAACUGAUGGACACAACUGACACCACUUGCUGCAAGAGCUUACACAGGCAGCUUUUAUUUAAACGAAAGCAAUCGAGGAUUGCAAUAUUAUUGGAAACAUAAACACACUACAAACUUGCAUACAGGCACAAGGCUUGACCUCCAAAAGUACAUAGAACUAUGUAGUAAUGGACGACGUAUUAUAUAAGGUUCAUUGAUUAGCAAUGACGGUAGUAGCAGUAGCAACCAUAAUGCUUGUGAUUUUUUAAACAAGCGCCAUGGUAAGCUCCCUCGUGGUGAAUACAAUAAUUGCUGCAUUUAUGAGGAGCACACAACCCAUGCCAUCCUUUGCUAAGUUUUGUGCAAGGUUUUGCUUCCCCCGUUUGCAUCUCUGCAUAAAAGUUGGAUCGGUAAAGCUAAAUAGCAUCAGCUAAUCAAUAAAUUUACAUCAAUAUUUUACUUUACUUUUAAGGACACUUCUUUUAUGGUAGGCAUUAAUCUUACUCAAUUGUAUAUAUUCUGUAAGUUUCUUAUCGUAUAAAGAAAAAAGAAAAACAAGCCAAAAUUCACUUGAUACAACACAUAUAUAGGAAUGUUUUUUUGGUGAGAAAAUGUCAAGGAAAACUAUGAUGUGACGUCCACUAGCUUUUGGGUGAGAGAUGGAAAAAGGGUUCAUCAAACUGUCUCGGGUUAUUUUCUCAUGAUAAUCAUAUGCAUGGUCGAUGGAAAAAUAAUGAAUAAGGUGAUGACAUAUCUUGUUCCAUUCAACAAGAUAGAAUUAGACUUGAUUAAACGUGAAAAAAAAAUAGGGUAGUUCUUUCAACAAAUCUUGUUCAGUCCUAUGUACUGAACAUGACAAUGUUUUCUGCAAUGAAACCAGUAAUGAAAAAUUAACUAUCCGCUCAUGGAGUGCAAAACUACCUACCGUAGGCUGCAAAAAUGAGAAAGCAGAAGAAGGCAGCAAGAAAAGUAGUCUUGUUGAGUUUAGCCAUCUCUAUGUACUCUUAAUUUCUAGUGUUCGUGAUAA